Molecule: long non-coding RNA, 636 nt
Organism: Tripterygium wilfordii
Lineage: Eukaryota; Viridiplantae; Streptophyta; Magnoliopsida; Celastrales; Celastraceae
Exons: 2
Source: RefSeq, a predicted model, not a curated record
UUUGAUUACUUUUGUUUGUCCUUUCUCUCGUCUCCUCCUUCCUCCUCAGCCUUUUUAUCUUCUUCUCUGGCUUCUCUAUCUCACACACUCACAAAUCAGUCUCUUCUUUCUCUCGCAGAGUCAGUCAAUCCUCAAGACUGAAAUGGAGAAAGGAGAAGGGGAAGCUUAUAUCUUUUGAGGGGAAUGUUGUCUGGCUCGAGGCCACUAAUACUUAGAUCUCUAACAAUCUCUUCUUUUCCUUUUUAGAAUUUUUAAAUAAUUUUUGUUUGAUAGAGCAAUCAUAUAUAUUAGGGACGUCGGACCAGGCUUCAUUCCCCCCAAUUGGUGCUCCCUCAAGACGAUAUUAAUUUAUGUCCAUUUAUGGCUUUGAUCUGAAAGAUCCAAAGUUUAGUCAACAUCCAUCAGCAUUGACGCCAAUUAUGGAUUCUCUCCUUUACCCACGACAAAUUAUGUCAUUAAUAAUAUAUAUAUAUUUAUAUAUAUGUGCCUAUUUUGAGCACUAGCAACUGUUUGUUAAUAUUGGACCCCACUUUUCUUUUUUGAUGAAUAUUGUCUUUAAUUUUUCUCAGACUCGGUGUAAGUAUAGUACAGAAAUGUCAGCAUAUUUUUGUGAAUAUAUAUAGAUAUACAUAGUUA